UACGGGGGGGGCAAGCGUUGUUCGGAAUUACUGGGCGUAAAGGGCUCGUAGGCGGCCAACUAAGUCAGACGUGAAAUCCCUCGGCUUAACCGGGGAACUGCGUCUGAUACUGGAUGGCUGGAGUUUGGGAGAGGGAUGCGGAAUUCCAGGUGUAGCGGUGAAAUGCGUAGAUAUCUGGAGGAACACCAAUUGCGAAGGCAGCUCGCUGGGACGUUACUGACGCUGAGACGCGAAAGCGUGGGGAGCAAACAGG
This 253-nucleotide ribosomal RNA is filed under the name uncultured bacterium. RNAcentral's name for it is "partial 16S ribosomal RNA". It matches the Rfam family "Bacterial small subunit ribosomal RNA", at positions 524 to 776 of the family's 1533-position model. The record is from RNAcentral.